This 515-nucleotide ribosomal RNA is filed under the name uncultured bacterium. RNAcentral describes it as "partial 16S ribosomal RNA". It matches the Rfam family "Bacterial small subunit ribosomal RNA", at positions 28 to 523 of the family's 1533-position model. The record is from RNAcentral.
GACGAACGCUGGCGGCGUGCCUAAUACAUGCAAGUCGAGCGGACUUUCAAGAAGCUUGCUUUUUGAAAGUUAGCGGCGGACGGGUGAGUAACACGUGGGCAACCUGCCUGUAAGACGGGGAUAACUCCGGGAAACCGGGGCUAAUACCGGAUAAUAUCUUUCUUCGCAUGAAGGAAGGUUGAAAGGCGGCGCAAGCUGCCGCUUGCAGAUGGGCCCGCGGCGCAUUAGCUAGUUGGUGAGGUAACGGCUCACCAAGGCGACGAUGCGUAGCCGACCUGGGAGGGUGGUCGGCCACACUGGGACUGAGACACGGCCCAGACUCCUACGGGAGGCAGCAGUAGGGAAUCUUCCGCAAUGGACGAAAGUCUGACGGAGCAACGCCGCGUGAGCGAAGAAGGUCUUCGGAUCGUAAAGCUCUGUUGUCAGGGAAGAACAAGUACCGUUCGAAUAGGGCGGUACCUUGACGGUACCUGACCAGAAAGCCACGGCUAACUACGUGCCAGCCGCCGCAGUAA